Non-coding RNA from Acanthosepion pharaonis, 93 nucleotides. The record is from the annotation of a GenBank genome assembly. Lineage: Eukaryota; Metazoa; Mollusca; Cephalopoda; Sepiida; Sepiidae.
UAAAACACCAGUUCCCAUAUGAUCACCAAAGUUAAGCAAAGUCAAGCCUAGUCAGUACUUGGGUGACCACUUGGGAAUGCCAAGUGCUGUAAG